This 253-nucleotide ribosomal RNA is filed under the name uncultured bacterium. RNAcentral describes it as "partial 16S ribosomal RNA". It matches the Rfam family "Bacterial small subunit ribosomal RNA", at positions 524 to 776 of the family's 1533-position model. The record is from RNAcentral.
UACGUAGGGCGCAAGCGUUGUCCGGAAUUAUUGGGCGUAAAGAGCUCGUAGGCGGUUUGUCGCGUCGGGAGUGAAAACCUUGGGCUUAACUCAGGGCUUGCUUUCGAUACGGGCAGACUAGAGGUAUGCAGGGGAGAACGGAAUUCCUGGUGUAGCGGUGAAAUGCGCAGAUAUUAGGAAGAACACCGGUGGCGAAGGCGGCCCACUGGAUCGGUACUGACGCUGAGGUGCGAAAGCGUGGGGAGCAAACAGG